AGUGAACGCUGGCGGCGUGCUUAACACAUGCAAGUCGAACGCGAAAGUGUAGCAAUACAUGAGUAGAGUGGCGAACGGGUGAGUAAAAUGUGGGUAAUCUAGCUUUCAGAGGGGGAUAACCCGGGGAAACCUGGGCUAAAACCGCGUAACAUAUUGGGGUUUAAGGACCCUAAUAUCAAAACAUGGCCUCUAUUUAUAAGCUAUGGCUGAGAGAUGAGCCCCACAUCCUAUCACGCUUGUUGGUGGGGUAACGGCCCACCAAGGCGACGACGGGUAGCCGGCCUGAGAGGGUGUCCGGCCACACUGGAACUGAGACACGGUCCAGACUCCUACGGGAGGCAGCAGUGGGGAAUUUUUCGCAAUGGGCGCAAGCCCGACGAAGCAACGCCGCGUAGAGGAUGAAGGCCCUCGCGGUCGUAAACUCUUGUCUAGCGGGACGAAACCUCCAUAAGUGAAUAACUUAUGGAAUUGACUGUACCGCUGGAGGAAGCUCCGGCCAACUCCGUGCCAGCCGCCGCGGUAAG
RNAcentral lists this ribosomal RNA (524 nucleotides) under uncultured bacterium. Its description in RNAcentral is "bacterial SSU rRNA". It matches the Rfam family "Bacterial small subunit ribosomal RNA", at positions 29 to 524 of the family's 1533-position model. The record is from RNAcentral.